GUGAAUCAUCGAAUUUUUGAACGCAAAUUGCACUCUCCUCGGAGAGUAUGCCUGUUUGAGGGUCAGCCUAUAAAAAAUCGACAUCGUUGCUGUUUCACGGUGACGUUCGUCGGAAAUUGGGUCAUCUUAAAUCUUUUGGGUUUAAGCGACUUAAAAUUUUCUUUUUGAUUCCAUGAACGUGUUUCUAAGAUUUAUUUUUUUACACUUUUAAGGUUUUUAUUUUUAUUAUCCUUGCCCUUAAUAUCUGUU
Molecule: unclassified non-coding RNA, 249 nt
Filed under: Glomeraceae sp.
Lineage: Eukaryota; Fungi; Glomeromycota; Glomeromycetes; Glomerales; Glomeraceae
Description: partial contains 5.8S ribosomal RNA and internal transcribed spacer 2
Rfam family: 5.8S ribosomal RNA (bases 1-65)
Source: RNAcentral